This 618-nucleotide long non-coding RNA is filed under the name Helianthus annuus (common sunflower). Its description in RNAcentral is "hypothetical non coding rna". The record is from RNAcentral. Lineage: Eukaryota; Viridiplantae; Streptophyta; Magnoliopsida; Asterales; Asteraceae.
UUAAAAUCCCCACGGCAUCAAAACGUCAAAGUUUGAACCAGAAUUCAAGUCCCAGCUUAUUGAGAGGGGGAGUCUUCGAAAGGGGGAGUCAAGAUUCUGGAUCAACAGUCAAAGGGGAGAUUGAAGAUUGAAGAUUAGAGUUUGAAGAGAGCUUUUACAAAGUCAAGACAAAUUGAAAAGAGACAAAGACUGAAGACUCGAUGCUGAAGACUUCGUCAACAUCCAGUGGGGAGUCUGAUAGAUUAGGGUUGGAAAUCAAGAAAGUGGGUUAUUUCAUGUAAUUCCGCUUGAAAUGACAACAUGUCAUUUCAAGCGAAAUCAUAAGAAUUGUAAUUCCGCUCGAAGUCGUUACUUGGUGAUUUCGCUUGAACAUGUUGGAGCGAAAUCAGGUCUCGCUUGAAUCUGUCAUGUCAGUUCAAGCGGAAUUAGGAGUAUUAUAAAUAGGCAUAGUGUGCGUCAUUUGGAGCGGAAUAUGACCAUUUGUUCUGAGUCGAGGUGCUACCGGAUUUUUGUCAAAAAUCUUUGUAAAGCUCAGAAAUUGUUAAUAGAAAAGAAUUGAAAAGGAAACAAGCUGUUUGACAUUGUUUGCAUUGAUUCCGCCUUUGUAAAUGAUGAUGA